Molecule: ribosomal RNA, 816 nt
Filed under: uncultured bacterium
Lineage: Bacteria
Description: bacterial SSU rRNA
Rfam family: Bacterial small subunit ribosomal RNA
Source: RNAcentral
UCGGUGUAGCGGUGAAAUGCGUAGAGAUCGACCAGAACACCGGUGGCGAAGGCGGGUCUCUGGGACAGUUUCCUGACGCUCAGGCACGAAAGCCAGGGGAGCAAACGGGAUUAGAUACCCCGGUAGUCCUGGCCCUAAACGGUGUUCACUUGGUGUGCGGGGAGUCGACCCCCUGCGUGCCGAAGCUAACGCGAUAAGUGAACCGCCUGGGAAGUACGGCCGCAAGGCUAAAACUCAAAGAAAUUGACGGGGGCCCGCACAAGCGGUGGAGCAUGUGGCUUAAUUCGAUGCAACGCGAAGAACCUUACCUGGCCUUGACAUGCUGGUAGUAGAAUCCAGAAACGGAGACGAUCCCGAGCAAUCGGGAAGCCAGCACAGGUGCUGCAUGGUUGUCGUCAGCUCGUGUCGUGAGAUGUUGGCUUAAGUGCCGCAACGAGCGCAACCCUUGUGUUUAGUUGCCUGCGCAAGCGGGAUCUCUAAACAGACUGCCUGGCUUUAAACCAGGAGGAAGGUGGGGAUGACGUCAAAUCAGUAUGGCCCUUACGGCCAGGGCUGCACACGUGCUACAAUGCGCAGUACAGAGGGAUGCAAGACCGCGAGGUGGAGCAAAUCCCAUAAAACUGCGCCCAGUUCAGAUUGAAGGCUGCAACUCGCCUUCAUGAAGCCGGAAUCGCUAGUAAUGGCGCAUCAGCUACGGCGCCGUGAAUACGUUCCCGGGCCUUGUACACACCGCCCGUCACAUCAUGGAAGCUGUUUGCACCCGAAGUCGCCGUGUUAACCGCAAGGAGACAGGCGCCGAAGGUAUGGACAGUGACU